This 253-nucleotide ribosomal RNA is filed under the name uncultured bacterium. RNAcentral describes it as "partial 16S ribosomal RNA". It matches the Rfam family "Bacterial small subunit ribosomal RNA", at positions 524 to 776 of the family's 1533-position model. The record is from RNAcentral.
UACGUAGGGGGCAAGCGUUGUCCGGAAUCAUUGGGCGUAAAGCGCGUGUAGGCGGCCCGGUAAGUCCGCUGUGAAAGUCGGGGGCUCAACCCUCGAAUGCCGGCGGAUACUGUCGGGCUAGAGUGCGGGAGAGGCGAGUGGAAUUCCUGGUGUAGCGGUGAAAUGCGCAGAUAUCAGGAGGAACACCAAUUGCGAAGGCAGCUCGCUGGAACGUAACUGACGCUGAGACGCGAAAGCGUGGGGAGCAAACAGG